Molecule: ribosomal RNA, 1088 nt
Filed under: Pseudomonas sp. RPT-52
Lineage: Bacteria; Pseudomonadati; Pseudomonadota; Gammaproteobacteria; Pseudomonadales; Pseudomonadaceae
Description: bacterial SSU rRNA
Rfam family: Bacterial small subunit ribosomal RNA
Source: RNAcentral
UUUUGGUCGGGCUGGCCUAACACAUGCAAGUCGAGCGGAUGAAGGGAGCUUGCUCCUGGAUUCAGCGGCGGACGGGUGAGUAAUGCCUAGGAAUCUGCCUGGUAGUGGGGGAUAACGUCCGGAAACGGGCGCUAAUACCGCAUACGUCCUGAGGGAGAAAGUGGGGGAUCUUCGGACCUCACGCUAUCAGAUGAGCCUAGGUCGGAUUAGCUAGUUGGUGGGGUAAAGGCCUACCAAGGCGACGAUCCGUAACUGGUCUGAGAGGAUGAUCAGUCACACUGGAACUGAGACACGGUCCAGACUCCUACGGGAGGCAGCAGUGGGGAAUAUUGGACAAUGGGCGAAAGCCUGAUCCAGCCAUGCCGCGUGUGUGAAGAAGGUCUUCGGAUUGUAAAGCACUUUAAGUUGGGAGGAAGGGCAGUAAGUUAAUACCUUGCUGUUUUGACGUUACCAACAGAAUAAGCACCGGCUAACUUCGUGCCAGCAGCCGCGGUAAUACGAAGGGUGCAAGCGUUAAUCGGAAUUACUGGGCGUAAAGCGCGCGUAGGUGGUUCAGCAAGUUGGAUGUGAAAUCCCCGGGCUCAACCUGGGAACUGCAUCCAAAACUACUGAGCUAGAGUACGGUAGAGGGUGGUGGAAUUUCCUGUGUAGCGGUGAAAUGCGUAGAUAUAGGAAGGAACACCAGUGGCGAAGGCGACCACCUGGACUGAUACUGACACUGAGGUGCGAAAGCGUGGGGAGCAAACAGGAUUAGAUACCCUGGUAGUCCACGCCGUAAACGAUGUCGACUAGCCGUUGGGAUCCUUGAGAUCUUAGUGGCGCAGCUAACGCGAUAAGUCGACCGCCUGGGGGAGUACGGCCGCAAGGUUAAAACUCAAAUGAAUUGACGGGGGGCCCGCACAAGCGGUGGAGCAUGUGGUUUAAUUCGAAAGCAACGCGAAAGAACCCUUACCUGGCCCUUGACAUGCUGAGAACUUUCCAGAGAUGGGAUUGGGUGGCCUUCGGGAACUCAGACACAGGUGCUGCAAUGGGCUGUCGUCAGCUCGUGUCGUGAGAUGUUGGGUUAGUCCCGUAACGAAGCGCACCUU